Molecule: ribosomal RNA, 247 nt
Filed under: uncultured bacterium
Lineage: Bacteria
Description: partial 16S ribosomal RNA
Rfam family: Bacterial small subunit ribosomal RNA
Source: RNAcentral
AUACGAGGGUGGCAAGCGUUAUCCGGAUUUACUGGGUGUAAAGGGAGCGUAGACGGUAUGGUAAGUCAGAUGUGAAAGGCGGGGGCUCAACCCCCGGAAUGCAUUUGAAACUAUCAAACUAGAGUGUCGGAGAGGUAAGUGGAAUUCCUAGUGUAGCGGUGAAAUGCGUAGAUAUUAGGAGGAACACCAGUGGCGAAGGCGGCUUACUGGACGAUAACUGACGUUGAGGCUCGAAAGCGUGGGGAGC